Long non-coding RNA from Oreochromis aureus, 419 nucleotides. NCBI's taxonomy places the organism in Eukaryota, Metazoa, Chordata, Actinopteri, Cichliformes, Cichlidae. The record is from Ensembl.
AUCUCAGUUGUUCUCCUGACAGCUGCCAGAGAAUUCAACAUUAAUGAAUAAAUGGUACGGAAGUGGAGGAAGCCAGAAGAAUGAGUUAAAUUUUGACUUAUCUGACUGUUUUGUUUCGCUUAAUGCGCCUUAUAAUCCGGUGCACCUUAUGGUGCAAAAAAUACGGUAAUGUAGAUUUGAUUUAUUAAUAUUUUCAGUAAAGACAACUUUUUAAAUUUGUCACAGGACACUGAAUGCUUGACCUUGAUAAGUAGAUGCAAAUGCCCCACUCACUAACAGGACAGAUGGACGUGUUUGCAGUCCAAUCAUCUGAUAAUGGCUUACAGUGAACAGACACCAGCAACCACAGUUCGUCAGCACUAAUGUUGCACGUCUGUGAAGAACAACAGCACCACCGUUAUAGAACAACAGAACGUGUC